Molecule: long non-coding RNA, 470 nt
Organism: Columba livia (rock pigeon)
Lineage: Eukaryota; Metazoa; Chordata; Aves; Columbiformes; Columbidae
Exons: 3
Source: RefSeq, a predicted model, not a curated record
UCAAAACUGUACCUGCAUGUCUGAACCUGGAUCUGAUAUUCUAGUUCCCUUCUAAUAAAAUAAUGUUCUUUUCUGCAGAUGUGCCAUUGCAACAGGGUGGCCAAGAAAGGACUCUGCAUCCAGCACAUCUUCAAGAAUCACUCAGAAACCAAGAGAAUAUUUCCCUACCAGUUCAUGCUCCACUGAUUAUAAGGCUCAACAAUGCUGAAGAUGAACAGGACGAUGAAGAGGAUGAUGACAAAGAGAACUAUGUUUCUAAUUGGGUGCCUAAGACUGCUGCAGAAAUUGAAGAGGAAAGAACCAUAAAGGAAAUAUGCUAUAAAACUGGAGAGUAUUACAGGAUCCAGCACCCCCACAAACACCAAUCAACAGAAACUGUGUCUUCACCUCAGGAAAAGGAAAUAUUACUCUUGGAAGCUAUGGAGCGAGACUUAGAGAAAGGCAAGUAAUAUUCAUCUUCUCAGACAAUA